This 470-nucleotide ribosomal RNA is filed under the name uncultured bacterium. RNAcentral describes it as "partial 16S ribosomal RNA". It matches the Rfam family "Bacterial small subunit ribosomal RNA", at positions 28 to 506 of the family's 1533-position model. The record is from RNAcentral.
GACGAACGCUGGCGGCGUGCUUAACACAUGCAAGUCGAACGAUGAAGCCUAGCUUGCUAGGUGGAUUAGUGGCGAACGGGUGAGUAAUACGUGAGUAACCUACCUUUAACUCUGGGAUAAGCCCGGGAAACUGGGUCUAAUACCGGAUACGACCAAUCUUCGCAUGGGGUGUUGGUGGAAAGCGUUAUGUAGUGGUUAUAGAUGGGCUCACGGCCUAUCAGCUUGUUGGUGAGGUAACGGCUCACAAAGGCGACGACGGGUAGCCGGCCUGGGAGUGUGACCCGCCACAGUGGGACAGGGACACGGGCAAGACGCCAACGGGAGGCAGCGGUGGGGACUAGUGCACAAUGGGCGCAAGCCUGAUGCAGGGUCGCCGGGUGGGGGAUGACGGCCUUCAGGUUGUAAACCUCUGUUAGGAGGGAAGAAGAGAGAUUGACGGUACCUGCAGGGAAAGCGCCGGCUAACUACGU